AUGCAAGUCGAACGAUGAAGCCCAGCUUGCUGGGUGGAUUAGUGGCGAACGGGUGAGUAACACGUGAGUAACCUGCCCUUAACUCUGGGAUAAGCCUGGGAAACUGGGUCUAAUACCGGAUAGGAGCGUCCACCGCAUGGUGGGUGUUGGAAAGAUUUAUCGGUUUUGGAUGGACUCGCGGCCUAUCAGCUUGUUGGUGAGGUAAUGGCUCACCAAGGCGACGACGGGUAGCCGGCCUGAGAGGGUGACCGGCCACACUGGGACUGAGACACGGCCCAGACUCCUACGGGAGGCAGCAGUGGGGAAUAUUGCACAAUGGGCGAAGCCUGAUGCAGCGACGCCGCGUGAGGGAUGACGCCUUCGGGUUGUAAACCUCUUUCAGUAGGGAAGAAGCGAAAGUGACGGUACCUGCAGAAGAAGCACCGGCUAACUACGUGCCAGCAGCCGCGGUAAUACGUAGGGUGCGAGCGUUAUCCGGAAUUAUUGGGCGUAAAGAGCUCGUAGGCGGUUUGUCGCGUCUGUCGUGAAAGUCCGGGGCUUAACCCCGGAUCUGCGGUGGGUACGGGCAGACUAGAGUGCAGUAGGGGAGACUGGAAUUCCUGGUGUAGCGGUGGAAUGCGCAGAUAUCAGGAGGAACACCGAUGGCGAAGGCAGGUCUCUGGGCUGUAACUGACGCUGAGGAGCGAAAGCAUGGGGAGCGAACAGGAUUAGAUACCCUGGUAGUCCAUGCCGUAAACGUUGGGCACUAGGUGUGGGGACCAUUCCACGGUUUCCGCGCCGCAGCUAACGCAUUAAGUGCCCCGCCUGGGGAGUACGGCCGCAAGGCUAAAACUCAAAGGAAUUGACGGGGGCCCGCACAAGCGGCGGAGCAUGCGGAUUAAUUCGAUGCAACGCGAAGAACCUUACCAAGGCUUGACAUGUUCUCGAUCGCCGUAGAGAUACGGUUUCCCCUUUGGGGCGGGUUCACAGGUGGUGCAUGGUUGUCGUCAGCUCGUGUCGUGAGAUGUUGGGUUAAGUCCCGCAACGAGCGCAACCCUCGUUCCAUGUUGCCAGCACGUCGUGGUGGGGACUCAUGGGAGACUGCCGGGGUCAACUCGGAGGAAGGUGAGGACGACGUCAAAUCAUCAUGCCCCUUAUGUCUUGGGCUUCACGCAUGCUACAAUGGCCGGUACAAUGGGUUGCGAUACUGUGAGGUGGAGCUAAUCCCAAAAAGCCGGUCUCAGUUCGGAUUGGGGUCUGCAACUCGACCCCAUGAAGUCGGAKUCGCUAGUAAUCGCAGAUCAGCAACGCUGCGGUGAAUACGUUCCCGGGCCUUGUACACACCGCCCGUCAAGUCACGAAAGUUGKUAACACCCGAAGCCGGUGGCCUAACCCUUGUGGGGGGAGCCGUCGAAGGUGGGACCAGCGAUUGGGACUA
RNAcentral lists this ribosomal RNA (1417 nucleotides) under Micrococcus luteus. Its description in RNAcentral is "16S ribosomal RNA". It matches the Rfam family "Bacterial small subunit ribosomal RNA". The record is from RNAcentral. Lineage: Bacteria; Bacillati; Actinomycetota; Actinomycetes; Micrococcales; Micrococcaceae.